GAUGAAGAACGUAGCGAAAUGCGAUAAGUAGUGUGAAUUGCAGACUUUAGUGAAUCAUCGAAUCUUUGAACGCACAUUGCGCCCCUUGGUAUUCCAUUGGGCAUGCCUGUUCGAGCGUCAUUUACACCCUCAAGCCUAGCUUGGUGUUGGGCGUUGUCCGCAAGGACUCGCCUCAAAUUCAUUGGCAGCGGCAUCGUCAGCUUCUCGCGCAGCACAUUGCGCUUCAGAAGGCUUCUGGCGGGCUCGCGUCCACUAAGAUACCACCCAGUUUGACCUCGAAUCUGGUAGGGAUACCCGCUGAACUUAAGCUUAUCAAUAAGCGGAGGA
This 327-nucleotide unclassified non-coding RNA is filed under the name soil metagenome. Its description in RNAcentral is "partial contains 5.8S ribosomal RNA, internal transcribed spacer 2, and large subunit ribosomal RNA". The stretch from base 1 to 120 matches the Rfam family "5.8S ribosomal RNA", at positions 35 to 154 of the family's 154-position model. The record is from RNAcentral.